This 213-nucleotide small RNA is filed under the name Streptomyces glaucescens. RNAcentral's name for it is "Actinobacteria sRNA Ms_IGR-5". It matches the Rfam family "Actinobacteria sRNA Ms_IGR-5". The record is from Rfam by way of RNAcentral. Lineage: Bacteria; Bacillati; Actinomycetota; Actinomycetes; Kitasatosporales; Streptomycetaceae.
ACACACCGAAAGGAGGUGAUCCGGCGAAUGUAUGGAAACCGGACGCGUGAGGUGGCUGCGGGCUAGCGCCCGUCACCCACUCUGUGCGGUGCCGGAUCAGCACGCGGACGUAGCGUGCAGCCGGCCCAAUCCCAAGCAGUCACCCGACCCGCGAGUCGCCGGUACGUCCGGCCGGCUCCUCCCCGGAGGAACCAGACUCGCGGGUCGUCUGCG